GGUCAUGGAAGACUUUGUGAAAUCAGUUGCCAAUUCCGUCUACACAAAGAGCUCAGAGGAUGUCCAAUUUGUUGGGGACAGAAUCAACGAAGGAACAAAACGUGCGACUCUUGUAUACAGAAGCCAUCUCAAUAUUAUACAGACAUAAAGAUCAAUUUGAAUGCACACCAUGAUGGGGCGUUGACUUGCAGUCUGAACACGAGGCCUUUUGGUUUGUCACAGUGGGAACAUCCCUGUCUUUGUAGUGGACUACCCCAAGGAUAUCAAACCUUUCUAUGCUAGGCUGAAUACCGACGACAAAAAUGGCAGCAGCUGUAGAUCUGUUUGUUCCAAGAGUAGGCGAGUUGAUCAGUGGUAGCUUGAGAGAGGAACGUCUUGAUGAUUCCUGCAUAGAAUAAAGCACCUGGGACUUCAGGAUUCUAAUUACCAAUGGGAUCUAGAUUUAAGACGCUUUGGAACAGUUCUCCACAGUGGCUUUGGACUUGUGUAUGAGUGCCUGCUAGGGUACUUACUUGGUGUGGACCACAUACGAGAUGUCAUUCCCUUCCCACGAUUCCCUGGCUCCUGCCCUCUCUGAUGGUAGCUCCGCACAGCUGUCAAACUUCUUUAUGGGGACGUCUUCCGAUCGUGGUGUAAUGGUGCUGAUUUUACCCAACUGAUAAGAAAGGAUGAUGAAUGUCUGCUAGCAACCAGAGGACAGACGGCUUUGCAUCCUUGCAGAGGGACCUGGACAUGAGGAUCAAGGAAACCAGGAAGGGGGGGUGUUUCACAAAGAUUUAAGUGUGAUUUAUGGGGUGUUGCAAGAAAUUUGCAGUUGAUCGCAAGAUAGUUUUUGGACCACAAUCAAUGGAAAGUUACCCUUUUCAUUGCAAAUUUGCAAUGAUUGCAAAUAUUUCCCUGCAACACCCCCUAAGAGUCGCACUUAUAUGUCAGUUGCGCACUUUAUGUGCAUUACCGUGUGCUAGCGUUUAAGCAUGACUCCAAGUCACUCUUUAUCUUUUGUGAAUCCCAUCAGGACCUAGGCCUCGCAUCAAACACAGGAAUCUGUGUUACGAAGAUCACUGUCCUACCAUUGCGCGCUACCAUUGGGAAUGUUUCUUGGAACAAAUAGUUAUUUUCACUGACUAAUUCUCUCUAAGCAAAUCAGAUACAAGGAAUAUGGUAGCUUAUAACAGGGGACUGUUUCAUUAAGAUUUUGUCCGACAAGUUGUCAGAUCUGAAAUCUUUCCUUGAAUUUCAUUGGCUGAGAAGCAGUGUUACUGUGGUAACUGUCGGAUAAAACGUCCGAUAAGUCCUUUCAUGAAAUCCUCCCCAGAAGUCAGUAAAGUCCAAGCGCACACUAUGCGAUCCGAUACAACACAUUUUUUAAUGAAUCGCAUUUUGCAUUAAACAUGAGAGUGCCAAGGAGUAAAAGUAUUUCAUUUGAAGUCAGGCAUGAAUGUUAGGAAUAAUAAAGUUAUCAUUUUGCUUAAUUUUGCGGCAUGCUCUGUGGUCGGAGUAAUGUCUAAAUUGGCUUCAAGUAGCAUUCAAUUACAAUAGUCAGACUUUACACGACUUUACAAUACAUAGAAAGAUAUUUAUUAAAAAAUCUAACUAAAAAACAGUGAUUUGAGGGCAUUUCAUGUGAAUGCCUCCAAAUGCAGCCUUUUUCAUAAAAAUCCCUGAAAUCUUGUGUAAAGUGAAUGGGUGCGUAGACAUGUGGCUCCAUUGUUUUGUUUAAUCUGAAAAUGACUUGCCGAUGUUUUUUCCAGAAAAUCGUAUAUUUCUCUCAAAUUCUCAUGAGAUUUCAACCGUAAAUUUACUUGAAAAUAAAGAAAAAUCAUGAUUAAUAUUAAUAAAAAAAUGUUUAGGUGCGCAGACAUGGCUCCCCCCUCAAUCAAAAGUGAAUGUAGUCCAACUACUUCAGAAUCUGUAUCAUGCAUUUUGUGGAAAAUCAAAGGUCUUUGCCUGCAGACUAGUACAGGCUUUGAAGAAGUUAGUGCAAUAUUAUACAAAUAAUGCAUGGCUCAGUGCAUUGGGUCAGCAUGCGAUAACACAUUGUCUGGAAACCAAUACAUUAUGUCAAUGGGUCAUCGACAUCAUUGCCCUUUUGUGACCUUGGAUUAUCACAGUUUUUAAGGGUAAAUGAAAAAAAGGGGGAAAAAUAGAUAUUUCAAAGUCGGAAAUUCAAUACUCCUGGAAUAUUGCAUUGCAUAAUGCAGGCAAUAUCUAGUUAACAGAGAUUUCAGUCAUAUUAAUCCAAGUAAAUCUACACCAAGAGUCAUAUAUAUGUUUUAUCCAAUAUGGGACUUAAUGCGCAUUUGCUAUUCAUGAACCCAUUUUAUAUUUUUUAUGUAGACUUUUGUGUAACAGGAGCAGGUCCAAGCUAUUUUAUCUUUGCUUACAGUUAAAACAUCUGAAUUAUCAGUUAUUUCAUUAGUAGAUGCAAACUCUGUUAGCCAUGGUUACUAGGAGUCAAUAAGUUGUGCAUUGGUUAGAAAUGAUUUGCAAGUAUUUUUAGGGCUUUGAAUUAUGAUCAUUUCUAGAAUUAGGCUGAGUAUUUGUGGUUUAAAAAGCCUGUCUUCAGUUUUGGAAAAGGCUAAAAAAUGUGAAUUAUACUUGAUCAUCCUAAAUUUUGAUUGUAAGACUUUGAAGUAGCUGAUUAAUCUUGUUUUUUCAACCCCCAAUUCUCGGACAAUUUAAAUAUUCAAACCAAACAUGUCUAGUGCCCUCUAUCAGUGAUAUUUUUUGUUCCUAUAAAAGGGCUCUUUGAACAUUUAGUCUUACAAAAGGAGCUACAGUCGCAAAGAUUAUGUCCUAAAAUCUUCAGUCCAAUCCAUGCUUUGGAAUAGGUUAACAUAUAUAUAAACCUCAGUUUAUUUUGACCGGGCACCCAAUCAAAAUGCAUUGUCAUGUAAAUGUAAAAUGGCAAUUUUUGUCUCACCUGCAUAGCAAAGUGAGACUAUAGGCGCCGCUUUUCCGAGGUCAAUCAAGUAUUACUGAACAUCCUGCCUGAGUUUCAUGUCACAUGACUAAGGUCAAAGGUCAUUUAGGGUCAAUGAACUUCGACCAUGUUGGGGGAAUCAACAUCAAAAUCUUAACCUAAGGUUAAGUUUUUGAAAUGUCAUCAUAACUUAGAAAAUAUAUGGACCUAGUUCAUGAAACUUAUACAUAAGGUUAAUCAAGUAUCACUGAACAUCCUGCAUGAGUUUCACGUCACAUGACCAAGGUCAAAGGUAAUUUAGGGUCAAUGAAAUUUGGCCGAAUUGGGGGUAUCUGUAGAAUUACCAUCAUAACUUUAAAAGUUUAUGGAUCUGAUUCAUGAAACUUGGACAUAGUAGUAAUCAAGUAUUACUGAACAUCCUGUGCAAGUUUCAGGUCACAUGAUCAAGGUCAUUUAGGGUCAAUGAACUUUGGUCAAAUUGGGGUAUUUGUUGAAUUACCGACAAAACUUUGAAAGUGUGUUGGUCUAGUUCAUAAAACUUGGACAUAAGAGUAAUCAAGUAUCACUGAACAUCCUUUGCGCAUUUUAGGUCACAUGACCAAGGUCAAAGGUCAAUGAACUUUGGCCAUAAUGGGGGUAUCUGUUGAAUUACCAUCAUAACUUAGAAAAUAUAUGGACCUAGUUCAAGGUCAAAGGUCAUUUAGGGUCAAUGAACUUUGGCCGAAUUGGGGGUAUCUGUAGAAUUACCAUCAUGACUCUAAAUCAGCACUGCUGCUAUAUUGAAUCGCGUGAUGCAGGUGAGACGGCCAGAGGCAUUCCACUUGUUAUCAAUAGCCUCCACAUCUGAAAAUUUUAGGGCAUACACAUUCAUAUAGCCUCGUGAUGAAUUACAAUUACCAUAGUGAUAUUUUGGUGGAUUUACCAAGACUAAAAACAGGCUUUAUGUUAGUUUGUAAUUUUCUCUCAGCGAAGUUGUGAUUUGUGAUUAUUUUGUGUUGACUAGUCUGCAAAAGUGGAUCCAAAGGUUUUCCAGAGUUUUUGCCGUUCGAGUUUUAUCUCUGGUUUUUUACCCUGGACCUACUUGUCGUAGAAUUUUUCAACACAAAAUUUUCACUCCCCUGCACAUCAGGGUCAAAUGUCACAUAGGUCAUUAUUCUAAAAUUAGGUUAGGUUUGCAAUAUAUUCUCGGUCUAGCAGUGGCGGGGCUAUAACAUUUGAUUGCAUGAAGUCAAUGAUCCAUGUUCCCAUUAAUAUAUGGUGCCUGUUAUGUGCUUUUGAGUAUUUAGGCCUGUUUAGGAAGUACUUUAAUAUAAAUCAUUAGAUUGUUUUAGAAAAGUAUAUGCAGAGUUGCCAAUUAGUAGGAUUUUUAAGGGGAAAUCGACACUAAAUAAGGUUUUCCCCUAGAAAUACGAUUUUUGAAAGUUGUAAGAAUGAUAGUUUUUAGUAUGCUUCGUUUUCGCAAAAGUUUAAAGAAAAAUAAGAUUGUAGGCUUGACGAUAAGAUAAAAAUGAAUAAAUAAUAGGAUUUUUUUCACAAUGUAGGUUAGCAGCUAUGUAUAUGGCACUAUCGAGACAAUUCCCAGAAGUGUUUCACAAGUAGCUGAAAUCAGUCUCAAAGUCGUGCUAUCAUGUUAACAUGCACAUGAUACUGUAUGUAAUGUGGAGCUUCAUUGAUUCAUACAGAGAAGAGCUCGUUCUCUGAGCAUGAUCCAACCAAUGAAGUUUUUGUAUUUCAUUUUCCAAACAAGUGAAUAUUCAAAAACAAUUUGUAGUCAUACUGUCAUCUUUGUGAAACACCUCUGUGAUUUGUCUCAUUUGUCGCAUGUAAUGUCAGAUAGCUUGGACCUGCCUUACAGUGUACGAUUGUCUGUACUACUUGCUUUGCAUUCAGGAUUUUACCUUUCUUUCUUGAACAAAACUGUAAGACCAGCAGCCAAGAAGAUUCGUUCAAGUUGGAGGACCGUAGCAGCUGACCUCAUUGAUUGAUGGUGGUAGGCCCGACACCUCACAAACAUGGCUUCCUGUCUGGUUUAAGCCGGGAUCUUCCUGUCAGAAUCACACAAUAUGUGAUGUCACUACCAAGAGUUCUAUUUUUCAGUGUGCAGAGGAGGGCACUUGACACUGCUGUGCAUGGCAUACAGCUUCCAUGAUGUAAGUGCUUUAUUGAUGAUUUCAAUGAUAUUUUGUGUAGCCGAAAGUAUGGGAGACAAUGUACAUGAUUUUCCAGCAGUUAUUACUGAAGAUAUUCAUUAGUUUGGAAAUAUUGGGCAGCAUUAUUACCCACACUGGGCUUUUAUUUACAUUAAGCCUCGAUCGCACUUUUCAAAUUCAUGACGUUCUCUUUAAUCUUUGGAAUGAUAUUCUUUUCAUGAAAAUCUAUCAAAACGAUACCAUCUCUGAAAGCAAUUUUGACAAAUUUGUAGGGACUUAAAAAACUCCCAAUUGCUCUCCUCCCCUCGUGUUUAACUUUCCCCUCUCCUCUUCUACAAUGUAAUACUUGCAUUAUCUGUUGAUCCAUUGAUUGCCGUCUUUCUUCAUAUACCUCUCAGCACUAUCUGCUCUAGCUGCUGUUCUAAAUUCAUCUUUGUUUCACACUGUUGCAACAUAACAUCUGCCAUGACUGAUAUAAUAAUUUGCUAAUAUGACAAAGAAAUCAUUUAAAAGGAAAUUGAUAUAUGUUUACAGACUAUGAUAUCAUUAUUGUUUUAUUAGUUGCCUAGACAUGAUAGAGCAGCGUGAAUUAUUUUGCAAUCAAAUCCCUUUUUCUGUACCUAUUGUUUUUUUGGACGGACCAAUUGGAAUUUUCUAAAUGUUUGGUCCAAUCCCCAUUUACCAUGAACCUAAUUUUUUUUUUCAAAAAUGCCGAGUGUGUAUCCAUGAUGUAAACACAGAAUGCGAGAGAUCUAGCCAGACCUGUGUUGGAUGAUAAUGAUAUUGUGAUGAAGGUGGCUUCUCAAUAUCGGUUCGUCUGCAAAAAAAACCAAAAAGACAAAAACAAUAAAACAUAAAGACAAACCUUUUGUCUUUAAUACUUAACUUUGGAUAAAAGUCAAACCUUUUUAUGGGGAUUGUGUGCUUCAAUGGUUUUCCACAACUUCGCCUCCAAUCACUACAAGACAAGUAAGACUGGAAUCUAGUUUUAGAAGUGCAAUGUCAAAUUUUAUGUCUAUCUUGCCAGCAUUUGCUAUUUACUUUUCAAGCCUUGACUGCUCUAGUGUUUCUAGUUGACCAUUUGUGUUGGGCCUUUUGCACAUUUGUCAAAUAUAUUGGAUGGAGCAGUUUAGCUAAGACGGCUUUGAGCUUCGUCGCAGUAAUCAAGGUCCAUCAAGAAUCGGUUUGCACUACAAACAAGCAAAGAGAGGAACUGUUGAUCUAUGUUUGAAGAGAGGUCUGCUGACUUCCGCAGUAAUGUUUCAAUUGCAUGUGAUAUUUUUGUAUUUGGUGUUUGAAUGUCUGAUGUUGAGGUAAUCCUAAGGUAUUCUCUGACCAACAGGAUUAGUGUUUUUCAGCCUAUUUGUUGGUAUCCAUUGCUCUUCAAAACAUGCUAGUUGCAUAUUAUCAGUUAGUAAUUCAAAUGGUGACAUCUGAUGAGGGGUCUGUUCCUUUGAUUGUUUUACUAAAAUACAUGGUGCUUUACAGGUGGUCUCAAUGAUAUUCAUUGCAUCGUUUGGUAAACAUUACAGCAUUUUGAUCUGCAUGGCUCUUACUAUCUGCUGAUUGCCAUCUAGACUCUGGAAUUCAUCCACAUUUCAGUCUGUGGGUGAGGCAGUGAUUCACCAGAUUCUCAACAUUCUUGGACCCGUUUAAUAAAGGACUUGCAGCUGUAGUAACUUUGUCAUUAUGGCAACUACCAUGGUAACCUUGAUUCUGAUUGGCUGCUGAGCCCAGUUACCAUGGUAGAUGGCAAAGUUACAACAGUUGCAAGUCCUUUAUUAAACGGGCCCCUGAAUUCUCCAUUUUCCAUUCUUUCCAUCUUUGUUUAAUCAUUGCAUCGCCAAGUAGUUUUUUCCCCAGGGAAUGAAAGUUGCAUUUAUUCACUUGGCUGAAUUAAAAAUGGGUUGCUGUAUUUGUUGAGGUAUUUGAUAGAACUUGGCAUAUCUGACUUGGUUGAUCUGCAGCAUGUUUCAUAAAGCGGUUUGUAAGUUAAGAGCGACUUAAAGAAUGACUGGCGAACCUUUCUUACACGCUUAUAUCACCAAUGAAUAUUGAAUGGUGCAUAUUUUCCACAAGAAAGGAUCACCAGUCAUUCUUAAAGACGAUCUUAAUUUAUGAACAGCUUUAUGAAACACCCAUCCGGUCCUCUUUCAAAUGUACAUUAUCUCCUGUGCUUUGAAAAAUUUAUUCAGUCCAAACCAGAGCUGAUUAGACAAACCUAAUUGUAGAGGAUUGUGACAUUGCAUACGGUAAGGAGCCAGACUGGGAUAUCUCUUCAAGACCCGAGAGUUCUGACCAUGGUGAUCAAUGAAUGAUGCUUGUAAUUCCUAGAAGAGCCUCAUCAGCAUCCGCACUUGGUGCCAUUAUAAUGAUGAAGUUAGGGCGAAUGAGUCUUCGAGACCUGACCAUGUUAUUGUAUUGGAUUGUCGUACCUUGAAUAGCCUCGGCAACAUUCUCACAUGGAUCGAUAAUUAUGGCAAGGACGCAGGGGCCCUCUAGCAUAACCCAGUUUUGAUGAGGUGUAAUUGAAAGGCUUCUACUAGAUUGUUACAAUGGUUUCCGACAUCGGUCUGGUACAAGUUUUGGAAAUUAUAUUUGGUGCUGUCCUUGAAAUUUGACAUUCCUUCUGGAAGAUUGUUACAGUUGACUUUCACUUUUGCCUAAAGAAGUAGAUUCCUGCGUCAAGUCUGAAAGGAGGUGUGGAAAUUUUUGUCUUGUGCUGCUUCUGAAAUUCCUUCUUACUCAUCUUUCGACUGAAAAGAGUGUUUCCUACAUUUCAUUCUGGAAGGAGUUAUGGACAUUUAUUGGAUGCCAUCUCAUAAAUUUGACAUUGCACUUCACUACUAGGGAACAUGCAUUGUACUGUGAUGAUUGAGGGUGCAUUGUGGGAUAUAAAGUGCACUUCCUCAGGACGAGUCUAUCUUGAGGGUUCAACCUGUUAGAUCUAGAUUCACAAUAUCUUAUCAUUCUGAAUGCAAUAGCUCUAUCUCUCAAAAUUUCUGUGGAAGAAGUGAUGGAUGCAUACGCAAACCAUUUGGUUCUUUUAUGGUGGUGAAUAAAAACAAUGAAAACAAAGAAAGCAAAACAAAACAAAAGAAAAAAACAUCAGAUGUUUGUUUUCCCUAUUGGUUUAUUUCUAAAAAUCAACCAAAAAUGCAGUGUUCAUUGAAGUUCAUAUAAACAACUGUAUUAUGUACAGGAAAACGGUGCAUUUAUUUGCAAAAUUGUUCUAAUACUCCCGAAUUUCUCAGGAUGCUGCUUAUCUGAAAAUAAUAGCCCCCCCCCCAAAAAAAAAAUAAUAAUGAUAAUAAGUAAAAAAAAAAAAUAAGUAAAUAGAUAAAUAAUAACAAAAAAUAACUAAAUAAAUAACUAAAUAAUAAUAAUGAUAAUAAUAAUAAAUAAAAUAGAUAAAUACAAAAUAAAUUGAAAUGAAAAAAAAAUAAUAAUUUAGAAAAAUAUGCAAUGAUACAUUUAUUGAAAAUGAAAAAUAUUUGGACAAACAAUACGGUUUAAUGAAAUUAUUUAGAACAUUUUAGAUAUCAGUCAUGUGUGUAAAUGUUGAUAUAGUGUGAAACGAAGGUAGGUUGGCGGGAAUGGGGAGCAUUCAUGGAGGGUUUGUCAGUGAUUUUCACUAAUUAGCUCUCAGCCAAUCAGAUGCAAGAAUUUUCAGUAGCUUAUAACAUCUGUUGGUGAAAGUCACUGACAGAAAUCUCUGUGAAACACUCCCUGAGAUGGAUAGCACAGGGAGGUAUGGAGAUACCACAAUCGGUGGAUAAACUGGUAAACCUGUAGAAAGAAGAGAGGGGAAUAGAGGGGGCAGAUGAAAGAAAAUUAGAUGGCUUUGUUCUGAAUAAAAACAAAGGAGAUUAACAAUUUGAUUCAUUUGGCAAGAAAGAGAAGUACAGGGAGGAGUUAGAAAAUCAAUGCAUUGUCUCUCAUGCACUUGGCUGCACAAAGUAUCAUCGAAGUUGUCAAUAGAGCACCUACAUUAAGGAUGUGGUAUGUCAUGUAUGGCAGUGUCCAGUGCCCCGCCCUGCACACUUAAAAAUAGGACAAUUGGUGGUGAUGUCAUGUAUUGUGUGAGUUUGACAAGGAGACCCCAGCUCAGACUGGCGGCCAUUUUGUGAGGGUUAGGGCUUGCUCCUUCAAAUCAAGGUCAGUUGCUAUGGUAACCUAACUUGGAUGGAUCUUCUUGGCUGCUGGUCAUUUUUUUUUAAAUCAAUUUUUUUAACUAUUUGAAUAAACCAUUUGGAAAAUGAAAACAA
Lytechinus pictus (painted urchin) is the source of this 9341-nucleotide long non-coding RNA. RefSeq lists it as uncharacterized. The record is from RefSeq and is a predicted model, not a curated record. NCBI's taxonomy places the organism in Eukaryota, Metazoa, Echinodermata, Echinoidea, Temnopleuroida, Toxopneustidae. The transcript has 5 exons.